AUGUUGUAUUUUACUGCCAUUUUUAAAAAAGUGCUUGAAGAUUGUAAUGAAUUUAUGCAACAUGCAAUGCCACUAGCCUACGGUAGAGGGCAAAGGCACUCAGGCUUCACUGAAAAGCUUGACUGCGGUGCCCCUGCUGCCAGUCCAGCCCUGUCAACGAACCAUCCACACCUGCAGCUCUGCUGGAGCCUCUGCAAGCCACAGGGGCACUGGGAAAAUACCAAGGCAACGUAAAUAGCUUGGUGAGUUUUCCUGUUUAUCCAUGCAUGUGUCCAAUAUACACCAACCUUCACUUUCCUUAGACUGGUCAUCCUACAGACAAGCAGGAUGAACAAAAGAUAUACUCCAUGGGGCGCCUGGGUGGCACAGCGGUUAAGCGUCUGCCUUCGGCUCAGCAUGAUCCCGGCGUUAUGGGAUCGAGCCCCACAUCA
Molecule: long non-coding RNA, 431 nt
Filed under: Ailuropoda melanoleuca (giant panda)
Lineage: Eukaryota; Metazoa; Chordata; Mammalia; Carnivora; Ursidae
Description: lncRNA (ENSAMEG00000028989.1)
Source: RNAcentral